AUCGGCUCUCAAACUAAUUGAAAACAUUACAUUACCCAUGCGGCGAUUUAGAUGUCAAUGUCAAAUGACAAUGACAAAUUUAAAUGUAUCGAAAACCUUUUGUUCAAGAAGAUUCAAGAUGUACCAAAAUGUUUAAUAUGAAAAGGCAUGUAAGAAAAACUAUGGUUUUACCUUAACAAUUUCGAAUGAUGACUAAACCAACAUGAUCCUAUUAGCAGAAAUGGAUGUAUCCGUCCGAAACUUGCUUUCAAUCGUUCAAUUCCAAACCCUGUUCCAUCUUUUUUUGUUGCCCGAUUGCCCUGCAUUUUCAUGGACCUUAGAUUUGGAACAAAUAUAAGUAGCGUAACGAGCGAAAACCGCAAUUUCCAAAAAAAAGUUUCACAUGAUUAGAUUAUAGGAGUAAAAUGCAUGGCAAAACACUUCAAACAGAGUUUGGAAUGAGGGGAAAAUGAAUGGAUGUGAAAGUGAUGUGCCUGGGCUGGUUGGGUUUGGUUUAUGUAUUUGUUUUUAGCAAAGAAGAGAAGAGGAGAGAAGGCGUCAUGUGCCUAAUUCAAUGUGUCAAUUGUGUUGCUCAGACUCAGUUUCAGAGUUUCUGAAAUUCAGUUUCGGUUUCGGUCUCGGGCUCCGGCUCCGGAUCAGACUCAUUCUCGUCAUCGUUGGCGGGCAAUGUUGGUCGUCUCUCUCUCUUGUCUUCUCUGAAGAAAAAGGGAGUUUGAUUAAUGUAAAAGCUGCCACUGAUAUGUCACACGCAUGUCAAAUUCUGACAUUUGACAUUUUGCCAGCCGACUGACGAUGCCGCCAACUUCGACGCCGACGCUGCUCUCUCAGGCUGUUGCUGGUUACGGAUUGCUUGGAUGAGCAAUACAACUGGCUGGUUUGGCCAACCACCAGCAAAAGCGUAUUUGGUGGUGCAAGUUUCCAAGUUUUCCUUCAUCAGCUUAUUUUUUUUUGUUUGUUCAAUGCAAAGCACUCAAUGCGUUAAUAUAUCCGUUACUGUAUCAUUUUGUUUGUCAGUCCCAAAAAAAAACAUUUCUUCCUACCACUUUCCCUUCCCCUUCACUUGCUACUUUUCUGCUUAUCCUUCUGCUGGUAUAUUGGUUCAGCGCGAUCCUGUGCGUCCUGUGACCUGCGUUGUUGGCACUUGACAACGACGACAUUUGCGCAUAAAAAAUGCAACAUUAUUUGACUGCGAAUUAAUGUUAAAUUGUUGUACGAGUCGUGGCACUUUUACUUCCUUCUAUCCUCCGCCAUCCAUCCAACCAACCAACCAUCCAUCCAUCCAUCCACUGGUUCGGUCUGCUCAGUUCGUUGAUGUGGGAAAUGUCACUUUUUGACAGCCAACACCGACAAGUUCCAUCCCUCUGGCCCAGAUUCGGUAUAAACAUUUGAUUAAUCACACAGACGAACGUUUUACACUCUGGCCAAAGAUCAAAGCACUCUUCAUUCCUCAUUCUCUACUCUUUCAUUCUUGGGCUCCACAGCUUCAGUCCGUCAAUGCCUUCUGCCAGCCUUUUUGGGGGCCUCCUCCUCAUCCAACUAGUGAGUGAAACUAUUCGCGCAUUAUGUCUAAAUAAACAAACAAGCCACAAGCAACUAGAAGAAAAUCAAAAUUGUGGAAGAAAAAAAAAAAAUCAAAAUAGAAAUCCGUCGAUCGGUAAUCAAUCAUUAAGAUGUAUGGCGCUCCAUUGAGGAGGAGGUCUGUGUGGGUGGAAAAUUUAUUUGAAAAACAAUUUUCAUGAAAAGUAUGCGCAUACAAAACUGACAGCAUUUGGGUGUAAAGAAAAAUCAACAAACUGCCUGGCCAUAAUAAAUUGCAAUCUACAUACUGAACGGGACUCCAACUUGGAGUGGAUUUUUGGCGACCAAUGCGCCGCCGAGGAGUUAGGGAGAGAUAGAGAGAGAUCUGCAAAAAAUCAAGUUAAAUUCAUAGAGAUUUUUUCAAAAAAAUUCAAUCGAUAUUGUGCAAAUUGAUUGAUGGAAGUAAAUCAGAUGUUAAACGGUUUCGGAAUCACG
Drosophila willistoni is the source of this 2013-nucleotide long non-coding RNA. RefSeq lists it as uncharacterized. The record is from RefSeq and is a predicted model, not a curated record. NCBI's taxonomy places the organism in Eukaryota, Metazoa, Arthropoda, Insecta, Diptera, Drosophilidae. The transcript is spliced from 4 exons.